GGGUUGUGAGGUUAAGCGACUAAGCGUACACGGUGGAUGCCCUGGCAGUCAGAGGCGAUGAAGGACGUGCUAAUCUGCGAUAAGCGCCGGUAAGGUGAUAUGAACCGUUAUAACCGGCGAUUUCCGAAUGGGGAAACCCAGUGUGAUUCGUCACACUAUCAUUAACUGAAUCCAUAGGUUAAUGAGGCGAACCGGGGGAACUGAAACAUCUAAGUACCCCGAGGAAAAGAAAUCAACCGAGAUUCCCCCAGUAGCGGCGAGCGAACGGGGAGGAGCCCAGAGCCUGAAUCAGCAUGUGUGUUAGUGGAAGCGUCUGGAAAGGCGCGCGAUACAGGGUGACAGCCCCGUACACAAAAGCGCACAUGCUGUGAGCUCGAUGAGUAGGGCGGGACACGUGGUAUCCUGUCUGAAUAUGGGGGGACCAUCCUCCAAGGCUAAAUACUCCUGACUGACCGAUAGUGAACCAGUACCGUGAGGGAAAGGCGAAAAGAACCCCGGCGAGGGGAGUGAAAAAGAACCUGAAACCGUGUACGUACAAGCAGUGGGAGCACCCUUUGGGGUGUGACUGCGUACCUUUUGUAUAAUGGGUCAGCGACUUAUAUUCUGUAGCAAGGUUAACCGUAUAGGGGAGCCGGAGGGAAACC
RNAcentral lists this ribosomal RNA (644 nucleotides) under Salmonella enterica subsp. enterica serovar Senftenberg. RNAcentral's name for it is "partial 23S ribosomal RNA". It matches the Rfam family "Bacterial large subunit ribosomal RNA", at positions 1 to 678 of the family's 2925-position model. RNAcentral also lists the same sequence under 1 other name. Lineage: Bacteria; Pseudomonadati; Pseudomonadota; Gammaproteobacteria; Enterobacterales; Enterobacteriaceae. The record is from RNAcentral.